Molecule: long non-coding RNA, 19260 nt
Filed under: Vitis vinifera (wine grape)
Lineage: Eukaryota; Viridiplantae; Streptophyta; Magnoliopsida; Vitales; Vitaceae
Description: long non-coding RNA (VVIN_LNC003289)
Source: RNAcentral
UACCAUUUGAAAGCUUAGGAAGUCAAGAAUCCAACGCUUCAAACCGUGUAUGAUUUGGAGCUGAAAUGAGGAAGAUAUGGCCUUUGGAAGGCAACUGCAUCAUGUCAAAUGCCCAAUUUCGCAAUGUGAAUUUCACAUUGCGAAAAUUUCGCAAGGAGAUUUUCUUCAUGGUGCGAAAUUUUGCCAUUUCGCAAUGUGAAUUUCACAUUGCGAAAAUUUCGCAAGGGGAUUUUCAUGGUGCGAAAUUUUGCCAUUUCGCAAUGUGAAUUUCACAUUGCGAAAAUUUCGCAAGGAGGAUUUAGUCACAUUGCGAAAUUCCUUUGAAUCCCCUGUUUUGAGACGUUGUUGAUGUUAUUCCACUACCGGUUCUCCAAGAUAUUUUGCUUGAUUUUUAGCUUUGUAAAUACCUAUUUUACCCUUGUAAUCAACCAAUGAAUAGGUUGCUUUUGUAAUAGCUCUUGUAAUUUAGCUUGUUAUUGUCUUUAAAUAGAGGUGAAGAGCCUCAGAUGAUCGAAUCUUGUAACCUGUAACUUUAUAAGUUAUAAGAGCACUUUUGUUCAUACGCUUCUUUUCUCUUUUCUUUCUCAUUUUCUUAGUAGCCAAACAUCCUUGGAGGAUGAAAUCCCCAAGGAUGAGAGGCUAAAACCUUUUAGUUUCUUGAAGUAAUGGAUGCCAUGUGAAGCUCCCGUGUCAGGAUGGAGAUUUCCAAGCCAUGAAUGUAAGUAGCUGAGCGUCAUAAAUGUUUUCAUUCAAAGUAAAGCUUUUAAUCCCUCUGACUUGCUUUGAAUGGCCAAUACUUGAUAAUCUUUUGGUCUCAGUGGAUUCUUAUUGUUAGAUCCACUGAUGUUCAUUAGUUAUCCCCUACGAGCCAUUGUAUUGCAAGUCGAGGAGAUGACCUAUAUCAUUAAAAGAGCAUUUAUGAGGUUCAACUACCCUUUUUGUAAGUUUUCAAGGACUAAAACUCAGUUGUUAAACUCAUACCGGUUCGGGAAGUAAGCAUCACCUUAGUUGCUUCCCCAACUCGAGGUGAAAAGUCCCAAAAUCUCCAUUUUUACAUAGUGAGUUAAGCAUGGCUAUCCAAAGCUUUGAGAAACUUCUUUUUCCAUAUUUUAACCUAUUUUCAUGUUAGUUUAGUUUACACACCUUCAUCUUUAUAUGUUUUCAUCUUAACUUAAUUUUUAUUAAGAAAAGUUCACUCCAUCCUCCGAACUUCACCAGUUAAAGUAAAAACCCUUCCCAGUGUUCGAUCCUAGAGCCACUAUGCUAUAGUAGCUUUGCUACUUUAGUGUAAGGACGUUAGGUAUAAAUUUUGUUGAUACCCUUACAUGCCAAGCUACCAAGAGUCGGGUUAUCAAAUGGCGCCGUUGCCUGGGAAGGUGCUACUUCACUGUGAAUACAUCAGCCGGAGGUAACUUGUGAGACUUCUCAUGAGUGAGGUGAAUUCUAUCUCAUUUUCCUUUUACUAACUUUUUAUUUUAUUUUAUUUUUCUUUGUUCAUGUGUUAGUAUAUCUUUUAUUUAGUUUUUAGUUAAUCUUAAUAAUUUUUUUUUUUCUUUAGAAUUUUAUUUUCUUUUAUUUUCUUUUGUUUUCUCUGUUUUUAAUUCACAAAUUGCUAGUUGUGCAUGCCAUAUUGAAUAUGAGAUAGCAGAGGAAGCCAUGAACUUCAGUUAUGUGGCUGAAUUUUCAAGAGAAUGGGGUGAACCAAAUGCUAGAGAUAUGGGAAGAAUGACGUCUCAACCUAAAGCUAAGGGUGAGAUGUAUAUUUUGAAUGAUGGCAUGGACAUGAAGGCAAAGAUUGCAGCUAUGGAAAGGAGAUUGGAAGAGCUAGAAAAGAACCAGAUGCAAGAAGUGCAAGCCAUCUCUCAGACACCAUUGCAAGCUAUGCUUUGUGCCAUUUGUCAGUCUUUUGAGCACUUAGUGGAGGAGUGUCCUACCAUUCCAGUGGUGAGGAAAAUGUUUGGUGAUUGCAACACCUACAAUUCCAAUUGGAGGAAACAUCCAAAGUUCUCUUGGAAACCACAGCCACCUCAGUACCAGCAACCUGCUCAAGCACCACAGCAAGCCUUAAACCUUGAACAAGCUAUGAUGAAUCUUAACAAAGUCAUGGAAGACUUUGUUGAACCUCAGAAAUCCAUCAAUGCUCAGCUCAGUCAAAAAAUAUCACUCCCUGACAGAGUAGAGAGUUCAUUGAAUAAAAAGAUGGAUGGAGUGCAACAUGAUCUAUCUCAAAAGAUAGAUAAUAUCCAAGAUUCAAUCUCAAGGUUUUCCAACCUCAACACAAUGCAAGAGAAAGAAAACUCUCCUUCUCAACCUCAUCAAAAUCAAAAGGGUAUCCAUGAAAUGGAGGCUAAGGAGGGAGAUAAAGAGGUUGAUCUGCCCACAUGCAAACUAGAGCAUGAGGUAGAGAGUGAAACAGAGAAAGAAAAGAGGGAGGAAAUCAAAGGAAAGAAAAAGGGGAAAAGCAUAGAGAAAGAUGACUAUAUAGACGAAGAACCUCAGAAGAUAGUCAUCAAAGAAGAAAUAAUGAAGAAACAGAUGCAUCCAUUUUUCCCCCAAGCUUUGUAUGGCAAGAUCAUACAAAGCAAGUCUCAAGUGAGGGAUGCCAAUUUUGUUUGGGAUCCAGGGGGAAUUCAGCAUGAAGUGGGUGUGUGAGUGAGGAUGAGCUAAAUAGUUCAUCUUCUUUUUGGGGUACAUGCUAUCAGCUUCAUUUAAAUUCUAUGCUUUCUUUAAAUUUAUGCAUGUUUUAGUUUGAAUUUUUAGCUUUAAUUUAGUUUUAAUAUGUUUUUAAGAUGAGUUUUGAAGUGUUCAUGCAGGUACAAUGCAUGCAAAAAUCGAAAUGGAGGUGAAACAGAGGAAACAGGGGAGCCAAAAUGCAUAAGCAAAGCUCUCAGUGGAAUUUCGCACCAUAAACACACUCAGUGCGAAUUUUUCGCACAGUGACAGUGCAUGGUGCGAAAAGGAAUUUCUAUACAUUUUGGAAAGCCAAGCCUCUCGGGAUGCUAUCUUCGCACCUCAAUUACCAGUGCGAAAACUUUAGCACCUUGUUUAUCUUGGUGCGAAAUGAUUUUCAAACUAAUUUCUAAAAACAAAGCUCUCGGGAAGGCCUUUUUCUUGAAUUCCAUGUUUUUCCAAGUUUAAAAAUUCAUGAAUGCAUUUCCAAACCUUUUGUUUUCAAAUCCCAUCCAUCCAAAACUUUUUAAAAAUCAAAUUUCAAAACCAUUCCAUGCAUGGCCAUCCACUUUGAUUUUCAUUUUCCAUCAUUUAAUUUUGUUUUCCAUCAUUUAAAAACUACCCAAACACCUUAGGAAUCUUGUUUAGAGCCUAACCAUACCUUUUAAAAAACCAUUUUUGAAUUUUUUCCCAAAACUUGGAAAACGCACAGUCGGGCUUCAAAGGAGGUGAACAGUGACUGUGCCAAUUUUGGCACUCACUGUUCACUCCUCCUUUGUUUUCCCCUGUUUGAGCCAAAAAUCUCCAAUUUUAACACCCUGCAAGCUACAUUCAAAUGUCAUUGCAACUUAUAUGAAUAUACCAUCAUGGCAUGGACCCUUUGAGCCUUGUCCUCAGCUGCUCAAAGUGGGGCCCACUCAUCAUUUUUGUAAAUAUUUAGUAUAAAUUCCUCUCUCAUUCAAUUUUUGAAUUUUGAAACAGGUGGUUCAACCUUCUCAACUCCAAGUCCACAUCACAUGAGGUACCACUUCCUUCCUCCUUAUUUUCGAUUCAAACAUUGAGGACAAUGUUCAUCUCGGUUGGGGGGAGAGAUGAGGAAGUAAGUAUUAGUUUAAAUUUUUAUCAUACUUAGUUAAAUUAGCUACUUUUUGUUUAAAUUUAGAAAUUUUUGCUUUAAACUCCAUGGAUAUUAAGGAUUAACUCUCAAAAUUAAAUGAGAGAAGUCGAGUUGCAACUUGAUUACAUGAGUCUUAGAGUUUGUAUUAUGCUCUUCUAAAAGUUGAUGAAUUGUUGAAACUCCCAUUGCAUGCAAACUUAUCUCUUCCACCUUAAGCUAUUCGCACACACAUACAUUAGAUUCCGGUAAUAAGAUGUGAAACUAUCUCACCCUCUAAGCUUGAGAAAUCAUAAUUUGACACCUUUAAUCUCUCUUUAAUAGUGUUGGGACACCUCAUAAAGACCAAUGAGUCUUUGAAAAAAAAUAGAAAAAAAGAAAAAGAAAAAGAAAAAAUAUAUAUAUAUAUAAUAAACUUCUUUACUUGCCUUGAAACCUGAGCAUGGUCCGAAGGGGUGGCGAAAGCCUUUAAAGCCUGGUGCCCUAAGCCUUUAUUGGUUGGGAGUCAUCGAUCCUCUGCUUGUUACAUGGGUGAAUUGGUUAAGUUUAGUAAGUGAAAAGAAUUGUGAAUAAGAGGUGCGUUCCUAGCCUAUCAAGAGAUGGUUAAUUUUGCUAAGCUUAAAGAAAGACUUAGGUUGGGGGGAGAUGAUAGUUAUCCAUACUAUACUCGGAAGCUAAUCACAUUAACACUUAGCUUGUAGUGGAAGAAUUUGAUUUGGAUCUUUUGAGAGUGGAAAUUCUUUUGAUGCUUAAACUUGCAUAAUAUCCAUUCUUUGUACUCUAUGAUCAAGUGAAUGCUUUGACAACUCUUAUUAUAGGUUGAGUUUCACAUCUUUAUUGAUCCAUGGAUGUCCAUCAUGCCACUCAUGUCAUUUUUUGGAGUGAUUUGCAUGAUCCCUUUUAUGUAUAUUAUUAUAGUUUAUUUAGUUUUUAUCUCCUCCAUUGCUAAGGGACUAGCAAUGAGUCGGUUGGGGGGUGUGAUUACUACCAAAAAGUGCUAUUUUGUAGACCUAAUUAUAAUGGUUUUAAGCACCUUUGAGUAGUAAUCAUAUUCAUUUAACCCAAUUAAUUCAUUAAGGUCCUUAGUAAUUGGUUUUAACCUUUUUGUGGCAAAGUUGACAUGUUUUUAUCAGCUUAUGAAUCGAUUCAAGCAUGCCAAUUGAUGGAGGAGCUACUUGGACGAGUUAAGCAAGGAUUUUGUACGUUUAUAGGCUUGAAUUUCAAGUGGAAACACGAGCACAAGCAAUGGAGAAGAGGAAAACAGAGUGAAGAAAACAGAGUGAAGAAAACAGCUGCAGUCUUCCUUUGAACUUUUGGAGCACUUCCCGAAGUCCAUUUUUUGCAUGCUAUAUACCAUUUGAAAGCUUAGGAAGUUAAGAAUCCAACGCUUCAAACCGUGUAUGAUUUGGAGCUGAAAUGAGGAAGAUAUGGCCUUUGGAAGGCAACUGCAUCAUGUCAAAUGACCAAUUUCGCAACGAGAUUUUCUUCAUGGUGCGAAAUUUUGCCAUUUCGCAAGGGGAUUUUUCUUCAUGGUGCGAAAUUUUGCCAUUUCGCAAUGUGAAUUUCACAUUGCGAAAAUUUCGCAAGGAGGAUUUAGGCACAUUGCGAAAUUCCUUUGAAUCCCCUGUUUUGAGACGUUGUUGAUGUUAUUCCACUACCGGUUCUCCAAGAUAUUUUGCUUGAUUUUUAGCUUUGUAAAUACCUAUUUUACCCUUGUAAUCAACCAAUGAAUAGGUUGCUUUUGUAAUAGCUCUUGUAAUUUAGCUUGUUAUUGUCUUUAAAUAGAGGUGAAGAGCCUCAGAUCAUAAAAUCUUGUAACCUGUAACUUUAUAAGUUAUAAGAGCACUUUUGUUCAUACGCUUCUUUUCUCUUUUCUUUCUCAUUUUCUUAGUAGCCAAACAUCCUUGGAGGAUGAAAUCCCCAAGGAUGAGAGGCUAAAACCUUUUAGUUUCUUGAAGUAAUGGAUGCCAUGUGAAGCUCCCGUGUCAGGAUGGAGAUUUCCAAGCCAUGAAUGUAAGUAGCUGAGCGUCAUAAAUGUUUUCAUUCAAAGUAAAGCUUUUAAUCCCUCUGACUUGCUUUGAAUGGCCAAUACUUGAUAAUCUUUUGGUCUCAGUGGAUUCUUAUUGUUAGAUCCACUGAUGUUCAUUAGUUAUCCCCUACGAGCCAUUGUAUUGCAAGUCGAGGAGAUGACCUAUAUCAUUAAAAGAGCAUUUAUGAGGUUCAACUACCCUUUUUGUAAGUUUUCAAGGACUAAAACUCAGUUGUUAAACUCAUACCGGUUCGGGAAGUAAGCAUCACCUUAGUUGCUUCCCCAACUCGAGGUGAAAAGUCCCAAAAUCUCCAUUUUUACAUAGUGAGUUAAGCAUGGCUAUCCAAAGCUUUGAGAAACUUCUUUUUCCAUAUUUUAACCUAUUUUCAUGUUAGUUUAGUUUACACACCUUCAUCUUUAUAUGUUUUCAUCUUAACUUAAUUUUUAUUAAGAAAAGUUCACUCCAUCCUCCGAACUUCACCAGUUAAAGUAAAAACCCUUCCCAGUGUUCGAUCCUAGAGCCACUAUGCUAUAGUAGCUUUGCUACUUUAGUGUAUGGACGUUAGGUAUAAAUUUUGUUGAUACCCUUACAUGCCAAGCUACCAAGAGUCGGGUUAUCAGUCGUCUUCCACUUCAGAGAGAGAGGGAGAGAGCUAGGAUUCUUCCCUUCCAAAGUCCACACUUUGGAGUACAAAGAUCGUGGUUCAAGUCAUAGGGCAAAAGAUCUUCGGUGCACGAGACCUCCAAACUCUUCAAGCUUCAUCUUUAACUAGUGAAAUUGAUUUGGGAUGUCUAAAUUAAAUUUAAAGUUUUCUAAUGACUUUUCUUUGGAUCCUAGAAUGUUAAAAAAAAAAAAAAAAAAAUUCAUUUCCGUUGCAUAAGAUCUAGAGGCAUAAGGUAGUUUGCAUGCACCUAUAUGAUCCAAAGCUUGGGAACAAGGAAACCUACCCAAAAUAAAAGGUACUCGAUAUGAUGAUUUGAAAUUUUUGCAAGGAAUUACAAUUGCAAUGAAUGUAGCAACAACCUCAUAUGAAAUUCUCGGUGAAGUUUCUAAUUCUUCAAAGCUAGUGAAAAGGCAUUACAAAGUCUUGCAAAGCCAUGUUUGUUGAAAGGUAUUUCUACAUCCAAGUUGGAAUUUUGUGAGCACUAUCUAUUAAGAAAAAACACCAGGGUAAAGUUUGGUAUUGCAGUCCAUCGCACCAAGGAAACAUUAGAUUAUGUGUAUACAAAUGUCUAGGGACAUACAAAAACAACUUCUUUAUGAGGUAAGCAUUGGUUUGUGAUUUUUUUUUGUGAUUACUUAAGAUAUGUGUAGGUGCAUUUAAUGUGAUAUAAAAGUUAUGCUCUUAAUGUGUUUCUCAAAAGACAAUGGUAGAAAAUAAAGUUAUUAAAAAAAAUAUUAAGAAGCAUAUAUUAAACAAUUAUGGGGAAUAUAAGUUAAAUCCUUUUACGCAAAUUAGAGAAAAAAAAAUGAUUGUGUGACAUUUGCCAAUCAUGAAUAUUCUACAAGAAAACGGGGUAGUAGAGAAGACAAAUCACAAAUUGUUUGAGAAGUUGAGGUGCAUGUUGUCUAAGAGCAUAUUGAGGAAAAGAGUUUUAGGUUGAGGUUGUAACAUAUACAUGCCAUCUUAUUAAUAGAUUACCUUCUAUAAUACUUGAGAUCAAGACUCCCAUGGAGAUACGAUAUGGUACUCCAGUUUCUGAUUAUGAUUCAUUACAUAUAUUCAGUUGUUCUUCUUACUACCAUGUUUUAGAGAAUAAGUUAAAGCUUAGAUCCAAGAAAAUAAUUUUCUUAGGUUUUAGUAGUGGUGUUAAAGGCUAUUGUUUAUGGUACUCUUUGCAAAGGAAAAUCAUUGUGAGCAUGGAUGUUGUGUUGAGUGACGAUGUUAUGUUAAAAAAGAGUUUCACAGAAGAUGGAGUUUGGAAGUCAAGUUGAAACUACUAAGAUGUCUCCUCUAGAUCAUUUAGGUAUGGAUUUAGAUGUCAUAGUAGAUGAACUAGAGUUUACUUCCCCAAGGUCCAAUGAAUAUUUUAAGUCAAUUGCAGUAAGUAGACCACAUAAAGAGAUAUUGUCACCUGCAUGAGAUGUUGAAUUGGUUGCAUAUGCAUCACCCAUUGUUACUAAAGAUAUUCCAUACACUUAUAGGGAUGCAAUUCAAAGUCCUUAAAGUGAAGAUUGGAAAUUGGAAAUAUAGAAUAGAUGAACUCUCUCCACAAAAUUAAGACAUGGAAAUUAGUUCCAUUUCCUCCAUGAAGAAAGUUGUUGGAUGUAAAUGGGUGAUUACUACUCAAAAAGUGCUUGUAAUUAACUCUUUUAAACACUUUUGAGUAUUAGUUAUUACCUUUUAACUCAAUUAGCAUAUUAAGUACCUUUGCAAUCGUUUCUAAUCAAAUUGUGUAAGUUUUGGUGCUUUUGAUAGUAAUUUGAUCACCAAAGCAAUCCAAGAUUAAGGAGAACUCUAUGGAAUCCUUGGCAAAGAAAUUGGAAGCUCAUUUACAUGAAUAAUUCAAGCUUUGGAGCUUUAUAGUCCUUUGCCAUAAACAAAUCAUGAAUGCAAGGAUGAAAGCAAAGAGAGAAAUCUAACAUGAAGAAUCCAAGAAUACAUCAACUGUUUGACACUUUUGGAGCACUUCCUGGAGUCCAUUUGAUGCAUAAUAUAUGUCUUUUUGAAGCUCGAGAAGUCAGCAAUCCAACACUUCAAACGAUACAUGAAUCGGAGUUGAAAUGAAGAAGUUAGAGCCAUUGGAAGCCGAUCACACCAAGCUGAAGGCCAAUUUCGCAAGCUGCGAAAUCAACCUUUGGCUGCGAAAUGAUUUCGCAGUCAUCUCGUGCGUCUGCGAAAUUUUGCAGCCAUCUUGUGCACCUACGAAAUGCUCCUGAAUGCUUCCAAAUAUUUGCGACCGACAUUUUUAGAUAUUUUUGCUUCAGAUUUUUGAUGUCUAAAUCCUCAUUUUCUCCUUGUAAUCCACCAAUUAUAGGAUUCCUUAGUUAUUAAGUAAGAGAAAAGGGUGAAUAACCUCAUAUAUAUUGUUUUGUAAUUUUCAUUACAGAGAUUUAUCGGGAGCUUGUUCUCAGAGACGAACAUCUUUUUGUAUAGUUUUGAAGGAAGUAAAAUACAAAGCUUUGCUCUGCCUUACCUACUCAAUUUGAUUGUAUUUUUCUUACUAGCCAAACAAGCUCUAAGGAUGUUUCCUCAUAGAAUGGGUGGCUAGGAUUUUUGUCUCUUGGAGCUAAGGUAGCUGGGUAAGGUGCCGAAUGCAAGAAUUGGUAAUUUUGUUAUUUCAGCUAUUAAUGAAGAGAAAGUGUAACCCGUUUAUGGUUUCUAUGUUUUUAGUUAACUUAAAACGCCUUCAAUUCACCUAGGCCAACACUUGGUAAGGCAAGUGAUCUCCGUCCAUUGAGAUGCAUUAGUUUACCUCUUGCGAGCCUUUGGGAGGUGACUUGAAGGUAGGAUUUUCUAGAAUUGCCAACACUUGGUAAGCUUUUGGAUUCUAAGGAGACAUCUAUUAGUUAUCUCUUGCGAGCUUGAGAAGGGAAGUCCAAGGUUAAUGAUCACCUUGAAUGGAAAAUGCUAGGUGAGAGGCAUGAGCCAUUGCAAGAUGCAUCAGUGAGAGGGAAUUAGUGCUGAAAUCCAUGGAAGGGAUAUAUCUGUACAACACCGGUUGGAGAAUGAACUAUAUGUUAAUUCUCUAAUGCGAGGAAGAGAACCAAAGUGAUCGAAACUCUGUUUUUGCAUGAGGAUCCUGACCCCAGUGAUCCUAAAACUCCAAGAAAUGCUUUUCUUUAUAAGUAAUUCCCAUUGCUUUCUUUUUCGUUAGCUUGAAACCAAACCUUUUUCAACCAAAGUUUAUGUUUUCUUUUGAAGCUAACCUCGAAAUGAAAAAGACCAAUUCAACUUUGAAUUGGUAUCAGUUGUAAGUUGAAAACCCUUCCCAGUGAACGAUCCUAGAGCCACUAUGCUAUACUAGCUUAUGUUAUCCUAGUGCAUGGUGAUAUAGGUUAUAAAUUUUGUUGAUUACUCCUGUCUGAGGACCAAACUCAAGGUACACCAAUUGGGCAUGAAUCAAAUGGCGCCGUUGCCGGGGAAGGUGCUAAUUUUACAGUGAUAUUAUUUCAGAGUACUUGUGAUUUUCAUCACAAGUUUGGUGACUUUUCUUUCAUUUUACUAAUUUUUGUUUUUAAUUGUUUCUUUACUUGUUCAUAUUCUAAUAUAUCUUUUAAUUCAGUUUUAGUUCAUUUUAGUCUUUUUGUAGUCUUGUUUUCUUUUGUUUUCUUUUGUUUUUGUUUUAGUUACAGUUGAUACUAGUUGUGUAUGACAAAUUGGAUACGAGAUAGUGGAGAAAGGCUUGUUAAACGUGAUACACCUCAUAACAAGGAAUUGGAAUUGAGCUUGAAUAUCAUGGAAGCUACGCCUGAAGAUCAGCAUAGUCACCAUAGUCACUAGGACAAUCCCAAUGCUUUCAGAUCAAUGAGGGACAACAUGCAUCCACCUCGUAUGAGUGCACCAUCAUGUAUAGUGGCCCCUACAGAGCAACUAGUGAUCAGACCGCAUAUUGUUCCACUUCUACAAACUUUCCAUGGGAUGGAAAGUGAGAAUCCCUAUGCACAUAUCAAGGAAUUUGAAGAUGUUUGUAAUACAUUCCAAGAAGGAGGAGCUUCAAUCGACUUGAUGAGGCUUAAGUUAUUUCCUUUCACUUUAAAGGAUAAGGCCAAGAUUUGGCUUAAUUCUUUAAGGCCAAGGAGUAUCCGUACUUGGACUGAUUUACAAGCUGAAUCCCUCAAGAAGUUUUUUCCUACUCAUAGAACAAAUGGCUUGAAAAGGAAAAUUUCAAACUUCUCAGCUAAAGAGAAUGAGAAAUUCUAUGAGUGUUGGGAAAGAUACAUGGAAGCCAUCAAUGCUUGUCCUCACCAUGGUUUUGAUACGUGGCUAUUGGUGAGUUAUUUCUAUGAUGGGAUGUCUUCCUCAAUGAAGCAACUCCUCGAGACAAUGUGUGGAGGAGAUUUCAUGAGUAAGAAUCCGGAGGAAGCUAUGGAUUUCUUGAGUUAUGUGGCUGAAGUUUCAAGGGGAUGGGAUGAACCAAACAAAGGAGAAGUGGGAAAGAUGAAGUCUCAACUGAGUGCUUUUAAUGCUAAGGUUGGGAUGUACACCUUGAAUGAAGAUGUUGAUAUGAAAGCAAAGUUUGCAGCUAUGACAAGAAGAUUGGAGGAGCUAGAACUGAAAAAAAUGCAUGAAGUGCAAGCUGUUGCUGAAACACCAGUGCAAGUACAGCCAUGUCCUAUUUGUCAAUCUUAUGAACACUUGGUGGAGGAGUGCCCUACAAUUCCAGCUGCUAGGGAAAUGUUUGGAGAUCAAGCAAAUGUCAUUGGACAAUUCAAGCCCAAUAACAAUGCUCCGUAUGGAAAUACUUACAACUCAAGUUGGAGGAAUCAUCCAAAUUUCUCAUGGAAGCAAAGAGCACCUCAGUACCAACAGCCGGCUCAACCAUCUCAACAAGCUUCAAGCCUUGAACAAGCAAUAGUGAAUCUCAGCAAGGUUGUGGGAGAUUUUGUUAGAGACCAAAAAGCCAUCAAUGCUCAACUCAGUCAAAAAAUUGACAGUGUAGAGAAUACUUUGAAUAAAAUGAUGGAUGGGCUGCAAAAUGACUUAUCUCAAAAGAUAGAUAACCUCCAAUACUCAAUCUCAAGGCUCACUAACUUGAACACAGUACAAGAGAAGGGUAGAUUUCAUUCUCAACCUCACCAAAACCCUAAGGGUAUCCAUGAAGUGGAAACUCAUGAAGGAGAAUCUUCACAGGUGAGAGAUGUCAAAGCCUUGAUCACUCUAUGGAGUGGUAAAAAAGUUGAGCUGCCAACACCCAAGCCACAUGUUGAAGAGGAAGAAGAAGAAGAGACAAAGAAGAGGGAGGAAAUCAAAGGAAAGAAGAAAGAUAUCAGUGAAGGAAAGAGGACCAUGAUUCAAUAGUAAAUGCAAAUCCAGAGAAAGUACUUAUUAAGGAAGAAAUGUUGAAGAAACACACCUCUCCACCUUUUCCUCAAGCUUUGCAUGGGAAAAAGGGGAUUAGAAAUGCAUCAGAAAUUCUUGAAGUAUUGAGACAAGUGAAAGUCAAUAUUCCAUUGCUGGAUAUGAUUAAACAAGUCCCAACAUAUGCAAAAUUCCUAAAGGACUUGUGUACUAUCAAAAGAGAGUUAAAUGUGAACAAGAAAGCCUUCAUGACUAAGCAAGUGAGUGCUAUCAUACAAUGCAAGUCUCCUUUGAAGUACAAAGAUCCGGGAUGUCCUACCAUUUCAGUCAUGAUUGGAGGAAAGGUAGUGGAGAAAGCCUUGUUAGACUUGGGAGCAAGUGUGAAUUUGCUACCAUACUCUGUCUACAAGCAAUUGGGACUUGGUGAAUUGAAGCCAACAUCAAUCACUCUAUCUCUAGCAGAUAGAUCAGUGAAAAUUCCAAGGGGGAUAAUUGAAGAUGUCUUAGUUCAAGUUGAUAAUUUCUACUAUCCAAUAGAUUUUGUUGUUCUUGAUACGGACCCCAUUGUCAAGAAAGCUAAUUAUGUUCCUAUCAUCCUUGGAAGGCCAUUCCUUGCUACCUCAAAUGCAGUCAUCAACUGUAGGAAUGGACUUAUGCAACUCACUUUUGGCAACACGACACUUGAGCUCAAUAUCUUUUAUAUGUCUGAAAAGCAAAUCACUCCGGAAGAAGAAGAAGGUCCAGAGGAGGUAUGCAUUAUUGACACUCUAGUGGAGGAACACUGUAAUCAAAAUAUGCAAGACAAGUUGAAUGAAAGUCUUGGGGAUCUUUAAGAAGGGUUACCUGAACCCUCUGAUGUGCUUGCUACUCUACAAGGUUGGAGGAGGAGAGAAGAGAUUCUACCUUUGUUCAAUAAAGAGGAGGCACAAGAAGCUGCUAAAGAAGAGACCCCAAAGCUCAAUUUGAAGCCUCUGCCCAUGGAGUUGAAAUACACAUACCUAGAAGAGAAUAAACAAUGCCCUGUUGUUAUAUCUUCAUCUCUUACUAGUCAUUAGGAAAAGUGUCUACUUGAAGUUCUCAAGAGGUGUAAGAAAGCAAUAGGAUGGAAAAUAUCUGACUUGAAAGGCAUUAGUCCUUUGGUUUGUACACAUCAUAUAUACAUGGAGGAAGAAGCUAAACCAAUUCGUUAACCUCAAAGAAGAUUGAAUCCUCAUUUGCAAGAGGUGGUGCGAGUUGAAGUGUUGAAGCUACUUCAAGCAGGUAUUAUCUACCCCAUAUCUGACAGCCCUUGGGUGAGUCCUACUCAAGUGGUACCAAAGAAGUCAGGGAUCACUGUGGUUCAAAAUGAAAAAGGAGAAGAAAUUACUACACGCCUCACUUCAGGUUGGAGAGUGUGUAUUGAUUAUAGAAAAUUGAAUGUUGUGACAAGGAAAGAUCAUUUUCCAUUGCCAUUUAUUGAUCAAGUCUUGGAGAGAGUCUCUAGCCAUUCUUUCUAUUAUUUCUUGGACGGGUACUCCAGAUAUUUUCAAAUUGAAAUUGAUGUUGAAGAUCAGGAGAAAACCACUUUUACAUGUCCAUUUGGAACAUCUGCCUAUAGAAGAAUGCCUUUUGGUUUAUGCAAUGCACCUGCAACAUUCCAAAGAUGUAUGCUAAGUAUCUUUACUGAUAUAGUGGAGCGAAUUAUGGAGGUACAUUUGAAGAAUGCUUAGUCAACUUAGAAGCGGUUCUUAACAGAUGCAUUGAGGAGGACUUGGUGCUCAACUGGGAGAAAUGCAAUUUUAUGGUACAUCAAGGAAUUGUCCUUGGCCAUAUCAUCUCCGAGAAAGGCAUUGAAGUUGAUAAAGCAAAGAUGGAACUUAUUGUCAAAUUGCUGUCCCCAACAACUGUAAAAGGAGUAAGGCAAUUCCUUGGCCAUGCAGGGUUCUAUAGGAGAUUUAUAAAAGAUUUCUCUAAUCUUUCAAAACCUCUUUGUGAACUUUUGGCUAAGGAUGCUAAGUUUAUAUGGGAUGAAAGAUGCCAAAAGAGUUUUGAUCAACUGAAGCAAUUCUUGACAACAACUCUAAUAGUGCGGGCUCCUAACUAGCAACUACCCUUUGAAGUAAUGUGUGAUGCCAGUGACUUUGCUAUAGAAGCUGUGCUUGGCCAAAGAGAAGAUGGAAAGCCCUAUGUGAUCUACUAUGCAAGCAAGACAUUGAACGAAGCUCAAAGGAACUACACAACUACAGAGAAAGAAUUGUUAGCUGUAGUGUUUGUCUUAGACAAGUUUCGUGCUUAUUUGGUAGGGUCUUUCAUCAUUGUUUUCACAGACCAUUCAGCCUUGAAGUAUUUAUUGACAAAACAAGAUGCAAAAGCAAGGUUGAUUAGAUGGAUUCUCUUAUUACAAGAGUUCGAUCUCCAAAUCAGAGAUAAGAAAGGAGUGGAGAAUGUGGUAGCUGACCACCUUUCAAGGUUAGUUAUAGCACACAAUUCCCAUGUCCUACCUAUUAAUGAUGACUUUCCUGAGGAAUCACUUAUGUUGCUAGCAAAAACUCCUUGGUAUGCUCAUAUUGCUAACUAUCUAGUUACUGGUGAAGUUCCAAGUGAGUGGAAAGCACAAGACAGGAAGCACUUCUUUGCAAAGAUUCAUGCUUAUUAUUGGGAAGAGUCUUUCCUUUUCAAGUAUUGUGCAGAUCAAAUUAUACGGAAGUGUGUCCCUGAAGAAGAGCAACAAGGAAUCCUCAGCCAUUGCCAUGAAAGUGCAUGUGGAGGCCACUUUGCCUCUCAGAAAACAGCCAUGAAGGUGUUGCAAUCAGGGUUUACUUGGCCAUCACUCUUCAAAGAUGCCCACAUCAUGUGUAGGAGCUGUGAUAGAUGCCAAAGGCUCGGGAAGCUAACAAGAAGGAAUCAAAUGCCUAUGAACCCCAUUCUAAUAGUUGAUCUCUUUGAUGUUUGGGCCAUUGACUUCAUGGGACCUUUCCCAAUGUCUUUUGGUAACUCUUAUAUCUUGGUGGGGGUGGACUAUGUUUCUAAAUGGGUUAAGGCAAUCCCCUGUAAACACAAUGAUCACAGGGUGGUUCUCAAGUUUCUUAAGGAGAACAUCUUCUCAAGAUUUGGGGUGCCCAUGGCCAUAAUCAGUGAUGGAGGUACUCAUUUUUGCAACAGACCUUUUGAAACCCUAUUAGCCAAGUAUGGAGUGAAGCAUAAGGUAGCUACACCUUAUCACCCUCAGACUUCCGGGCAAGUUGAGCUAGCAAACAGGGAAAUCAAGAAUAUAUUGAUGAAUGUGGUGAUCACGAGUAGAAGAGAUUGGUCUAUUAAGCUUCAAGACUCACUAUGGGCAUAUAGAAUGAUUCGUGCCCAAUUGGUGUCUCAGCUGAUUUGUGUUCAGCUGGUGCUCCUUGAUUGAGGGAGUAAUCAACAAAAUUUAUAACCUAUAACACCCUAUACUAGGGUAGCAAAGAAAAAGCUACUAUAGUAUAGUGGCUCUAGGAUCGUCCACUGGGAAAGAUUAACAAGCUCUCAAUGAUACCAAUUCCAAGUGAAUUGGUUUUGUUUCAUUUCAUGGUUAGCUUAAGAAGUAAAACACAAGCUUUGAUUGGUAAAGGUUUAGACUUAAACUAACUAACACAACAGAAGUUUGGAAUAAUUUAGGAAGAAAAGCAUUCCCUGGACAGUUAGGUUCACUAGGGUGGUUCCUCAUGCAAAAGACACGGCUCUGGUCAGAUGGUUCAUUUCCUCGCGUUAGAGAUUCAACAUAUAGUCAAUUCUCUAACCGGUGCUGUACAGAGACUCCUUCAAUUAGAUUUCACUUUAAUUCUCUCACUGAUGCAACUUGCAAUGGUUUAAGCCUCUCACUAAGCCUUAACCAUUCAAGGUGAUCUUUAACCUUGGAUUACCCGUCAAAAGCUCGCAAGAGAUAACUAAUGGAUGUCUCCUUGGAGUCCAAAAGCUUAUCAAGUGUUGGCUAUUCUAGAAAAUCCUACCUUGAAGUCACCUCCCAGAGGCUCGCAAGGGGUAAACUAGUGCAUUUCCAUGGUUGGAAAUUACUUGCCUUACCAAGUGUUGGCCCAGGUGACUCUAAGGUGUUUUAAGUUAACUAAAAACAUAGAAAUCACUAAAGGAUUUCAAUUCCUCUUCAUUACUAGCAAAAACCACAGAGCUUUGCAUUCUUGCACUUGGAACCUUCCCCGGCAACCUUAGCUCCAAGGAAUUAGAGGUUUAGUUACUCAUUCUCUGGGGAAAACUCCUCAGAGAAUUCAUAACUUAGUAAGAAAAUAAAAAUACAAAGUGAGAAGGUAAGGCAGUAGAAAGAAAUAGACUUUACUUGUUUACCCAAACUUUUACAGAAGGAACUCCUCUCUGAGAACAGGCUCCCGAGAGGUAUAUAUAUGUACAUAAUUUAAAACUAAUUAUUACAUAGAUAUUUAGUCUUUUUACUAACUUAAAAACUAAGGAAUCAUGUAAUUGGUGGUUUACAAGGAGUAUUUUGGGAUUUCGACAACAAAAAUCUAAUGGAAAAUAUCUCCCAAUGUUGGUAGCAAAUAUCGGGAGGCUUCAGGAACCAUUUCGCAGGAGAAAAAUGGUGUCUGCGAGAUUUCGCAGACACUCAAGAGGGCUGCGAAAUAAUUUCGCAACACCAAGCUAAACUCGCAGGGCUGCGAAGUUGGCUUCCACCUUGAGGUUCCAAGCUUCCUUCUCGCGGUAUAUGUCGGGCAUUGUCAGAAGGAGAAACAUCACACUGUACAAAAAGGCUGCGAAAUCACUUCGCAACAAAAGGGUGAUUUCGCAACACUUUGCAAAAUGCUUCCUUCAACUCAGAGUGAUUGGCUUGUAAUGGCUGCAACUUCUUCGUUUCAACUCCGAAUUGCACAUCGUUUGAAGAAUUGGAUUGUUGACUUCCUGAGCUUUGAAAUGGUAUAUAGCAUGCAUCAUUUGGACUUCAGAAAGUGCUCCAAAAGUGGCUGCUAUGACUAUCAUCAAGAAUAUGCUUUAUGGCAGAUUCUCUUUGCUUUUUCUCCUUGCAAUCCGGAUUUACUCUUGGAAAAUGACUUCUAAGCUUUGCCCAAGAUUCCUCAUAGCUCUCCUCAGUCUUGACUUGCUUUGGUGAUCAAAAUACUAACAAAAACACCAAAACUUACACAAAGUGAUCAAAAUUGCUUUCAAGGGUCCUUAACAUGCCAAUUGAGUUAAAAGGCCAAAACUACUACUCAAAAGUGUUUAAAAGGAUUAAUUAUAGGCUAUCAAAUAGCACUUUUUGAGUAGUAAUCAUAGAACAGCUUAUAAAACUAUUCUUGGCAUGUCUCCCUAUCACCUAGUCUAUGGCAAAGCAUGCCAUCUCCCUGUGGAAGUUGAAUAUAAGGCUUGGUGGGCAAUCAAGAAGUUAAACAUGGACUUGAUCAGAGCCAGGGCAAAGAGGUGCUUAGACCUUAAUGAGAUAGAGGAAUUAAGAAAUGAUGCUUACAACAAUUCCAAAGUUGCAAAACAGAGGAUGAAGAGGUGGCAUGAUCAAUUAAUCUCCAACAAAGAAUUCCGAAAAGGACAAAGAGUCUUACUCUAUGAUUCAAGGCUCCAUAUCUUUCCUAGGAAGCUCAAGUCAAGGUGGAUAGGCCUUUUCAUUAUUCACCAAGUGCAUCCCAAUGGAGUGGUGGAAUUACUGAAUUCCAACAGCACUGACACUUUCAAGAUCAAUGGUCAUCGUCUCAAGCCAUUCAUUGAGCCAUUCAAGCAAGAAAAAGGAGGAAAUCAACCUCCUUGAGCCACAGAAAGCCUAAUCAGAAACAGGUUAAAUGGACUUGGUUUCACCAAAGUCCAUAUUUUUUGUUAAAUUUUGUUAAUUUAAAAGCUUUGUUAAUUCUUUUGAUUUUAAUUUUGGUCUUAAAUUGUGUUAUUUAUAUGUAACUUAAUCUUUUUGAAUGAUCUAAUUUAGAAGGAAUUGCAAAGAAAAUGAAGGAAGGUCUCUUGGAGCUAAAAGGAUUUCAAAAGCAAAGGAAAAUUCAUGGCCUGCGAGAUUUCGCAGCCCAAAGGAAGCCUCUGCGAAAAUGGCCCUUGGUUACGAAAUGAUUUCGCAGCCCCAAGAAGAGCGCUGCGAAAUGAGGUAUCCGUUGCGAAAACGCCCCUUGGCUGCGAAAUGAUUUCGUAGCCCCAAGCCCCCACUCUGCGAAAAUUUUCGCAGCUGCGAAACACGCCUUUGGCACACGAGUGCCAUUUCGCAGGCCCCCACUUUAUUUCGCAGCUGCGAAAUAGGCUGCGAAAUCCCCAAGCUUUAAAACUCCAAUUUUCGCAACCCCAAGGAAGCCGCUGCGAAAUCAGGCCUCCGCUGCGAAAUAGCCCCUUGGCUGUGAAAUGAUUUCGCAGCCUCAUAGCUCCCUCUGCGAAACCACCUAUUAGCACACGAGUGCCAUUUCGCAACCUCCUACCCUCAUUUCGCAGCUGCAAAAUGGCUGCGAAAUCCUCAAAGCCUUAAAAACUCCAUUUUCGCAGCCAAAGCCCAAUUUCGCAGGGUGUUUCGCAGCUGCGAAACACCCCUUUGGCACACAAGUGCCAUUUCGCAGCACACCCCCCUCAUUUCGCAGCUACGAAAUGGGUUGCGAAAAUGCCUUUUGUUGCGAAAUCGGCCCUCCGCUGCGAAAUCGGCCCUCCUCUGCGAAAAUUAAAACGACCCUUGGCAUCCAUUUUAGAACUUUAUAAAUUCCACCUUUCUUUUUAAAACUGGUCAUUUGAAUUGCAAAAAGGUGCCAAAGAGGAGCCAAGCCAAAGUGAUUACUACCAAAAAGUGCUAUUUUGUAGACCUAAUUAUAAUGGUUUUAAGCACCUUUGAGUAGUAAUCAUAUUCAUUUAACCCAAUUAAUUCAUUAAGGUCCUUAGUAAUUGGUUUUAACCUUUUUGUGGCAAAGUUGACAUGUUUUUUAUCAGCUUAUGAAUCGAUUCAAGCAUGCCAAUUGAUGGAGGAGCUACUUGGGCGAGUUAAGCAAGGAUUUUGUACGUUUAUAGGCUUGAAUUUCAAGUGGAAACACGAGCACAAGCAAUGGGGAAGAGGAAAACAGAGUGAAGAAAACAGAGUGAAGAAAACAGCUGCAGUCUUCUUUUGAACUUUUGGAGCACUUCACGAAGUCCAUUUUUUGCAUGCUAUAUACCAUUUGAAAGCUUAGGAAGUCAAGAAUCCAACGCUUCAAACCGUGUAUGAUUUUGAGCUGAAAUGAGGAAUAUAUGGCCUUUGGAAGGCAACUGCAUCAUGUCAAAUGACCAAUUUCGCAAUGUGAAUUUCACAUUGCGAAAAUUUCGCAAGGAGAUUUUCUUCAUGGUGCGAAAUUUUGCCACUUCGCACCAUGAAGAAACACAUUGCGAAAAUUUCGCAAGGAGGAUUUAGGCACAUUGCGAAAUUCCUUUGAAUCCCCUGUUUUGAGACGUUGUUGAUGUUAUUCCACUAUCGGUUCUCCAAGAUAUUUUGCUUGAUUUUUAGCUUUGUAAAUACCUAUUUUACCCUUGUAAUCAACCAAUGAAUAGGU